GCUGAGUGGGGAGGAGAGAGGGACAGAGAGCCUGCUUGCUUUAAAGGAACCAACCGGACAGGAGCCGCUUACACUUGUGUAAGUGGCUCCUCUCAUCUCCCACUUUGCUCCUUUAAAGAAGCAGGCUCUCUGUCCCUCUCUCCUCCCCACUCAGC
This 155-nucleotide microRNA precursor is filed under the name Podarcis lilfordi (Lilford's wall lizard). The record is from RNAcentral. Lineage: Eukaryota; Metazoa; Chordata; Lepidosauria; Squamata; Lacertidae.